Molecule: ribosomal RNA, 438 nt
Filed under: uncultured bacterium
Lineage: Bacteria
Description: bacterial SSU rRNA
Rfam family: Bacterial small subunit ribosomal RNA
Source: RNAcentral
AACGCGAAGAACCUUACCAGGGUUUGACAUGCAUUUGCACCUCUUGGAGACAAGAGUCCCUUCGGGGCGGAUGCACAGGUGCUGCAUGGCUGUCGUCAGCUCGUGCCGUGAGAUGUUGGGUUAAGUCCCGCAACGAGCGCAACCCUUAUCCCUAGUUGCCAUCGGGUCAAGCCGGGCACUCUAGUGAAACUGCCUCGGAUAACGAGGAGGAAGGUGGGGAUGACGUCAAGUCCUCAUGGCCUUUAUGUCCAGGGCUACACACGUGCUACAAUGGUCGGUACAAACCGUCGCAAACCCGUGAGGGGGAGCUAAUCGGAAAAAGCCGGCCUCAGUUCGGAUUGGAGUCUGCAACUCGACUCCAUGAAGCUGGAAUCGCUAGUAAUCGCGGAUCAGAACGCCGCGGUGAAUACGUUCCCGGGCCUUGUACACACCGGUACU